Non-coding RNA from Schistosoma mansoni, 45 nucleotides. The record is from Rfam. NCBI's taxonomy places the organism in Eukaryota, Metazoa, Platyhelminthes, Trematoda, Strigeidida, Schistosomatidae.
AUCCAGCUGACGAGUUCCAAAUAGAACGAAAUGCGCGUCCUGGAU